UACAACUUCCUCUCCUUAGACCGUCUGCUAAUCCCGAAGUGUAUCCUCCGACAGUCUACCUUCUCCCUUCUCCUGUGUCCGAUGCGUCCGGAGGGUACCUGCCAAAGGCACUCCGAUGCUUAAGUUAGUUAGGUUAUCCGACCGGAUGUCUGAACUCAGAAGUCCAUGUGUAAUAAAUAAACCUACUUACCUGGUACCUCUGACAUGUAUUUAUAGUGCUGGAUAUGGACUUAGUAUUAAGGCAAUCUUAAUCGAGGCUCAAUCACAGCCUAAUCACUUUAAGCAUGUAAUUAUCUUAAUUAUCUUGGUCUUAUCUUAAUCAUGCAGACCGUCCACAUCUUACCAUCCGGUUCCUUUCAUUUAGUCUGGCCGGCCGUUUUGCAGGGAUAACUGACUGCUUCCAUUUAGAUGUUUUCAAUAGACUGGUUUGUCUUGACCAGUAGACCGUCCGGUUCUAUUUCAGACGGUCGACCGGUAGUUCCUAGUAUAUAUAUAUAUAUUAAAUUGAUUUUAUCUCUAAUCGACGUGAAACUUUUAAUUGAUCUUGUAAGAUACAAUAUCUGUAUUCUUUUUAUCAAACAACAGUAAUAAUUCAAUUAACUCCUCUUGAACUUAGCUUUUCUUUCUAACAAUUGUAGGUACUAGUUCUUACUCGAAACCUGAUCAUGUCUUCUAAAAAUGGUCGAGAACAAAUGACCUUUUGGUGAAGCUGCUUUUAUAAAUAGACAACCCAUGUUUGGAGCUCUGAAUUAUCAAUUUUUGUUCAAUUUUUUGAAUAUGAAAAUAAGAAAGCUCAACAUGAUUAUAUGAACAAUAAUAUUAUUACAUCAUCUACCCAUUGGACCAUUGCGUCACUCACAACAAUGAACAACCACCACACAACAUAAUAAUGUCAUGUUACUUACAAAAAUGUUACGACACAUUAUUUAAGUUUGUUAAUUUGAGCUCAGAUAUAAAUUCAAAUACCUAAAAAAUUAUUCUUGUGUUAAUAAUUAAAGAUAACUAAUAAAGUUUUUUGAUGAAAGUGGCCUAUGAAAAUAACUCAUAUUUUAAUACAAAUGCUAUGAACUGUCUAAAUAAUAAUAAUAAAAUUAAACCAAGAUUAGUAGAAAACAAUCAAAUAUUUAAUAAAAAAAUCUCAUUAUGUUAAGAUCUAUUUAAACGAACUUUGCAGAUUUAAAAGAAAAAAAACCAGAAAAUAGUAUUUUUUUUUCUUAAAGUUAAAAUUAAUGAGUAUAACCUAAUUUAUAGAGAUUCUUGUAUAAUUUUUAAAUAUUUGUUUUUAAUUACAUAACCUAAUUUUAACUUGUAAAGAAAUAGCAUUUUUUUUAUUUCAUUAGUAUUUUUGAAAAAAAAAAUGAUAUAAAUAUAUGAUAAUUCCAUACAAUAUAUUUAAGAUUCUAAUUUUAAGCAGUAUAUUUGAUUGGAAUGGAUAAAAUAGAUUAAUUGAAUUAAAGUAUUGUAAAAUUUGAACCAAAUUUUAAAAGUAGUUUAAGGAAACUGAAUGGAAUUUAACUAUGAUUUUUUAACCAUUCUAAAUUGUUUGAACUAUAUGAAUUUUUAUUAUAUAUUACCGCUAGACGUCUUAUUCAAUAUAUAUUUUUCACAUAAAUUAUAGUUCAAUUUAUAUUAAACAGUGCUAUUUAAGAGUAAUUCAAACUUUAUAAACCAAAAUAAUAGAACAAUCGAGUACAGUUUUUAUUUUAAAUAAUUCAAUUCUUUCAUGUGAUCGAAAUGUAGUAAAAUUACUGAGAAAAUUACGAAUAAUAUUUUUUGAAACAUGUAAUUUCAUGAUUUUUAAAAAUUUAUUUGUGAUGUAUUGUGUAAGUCUCUUAAAAUGUAAUAGGACUUCUCGAAUUGUAUUCGGAAAUUUUAGAACUAGAAAAAAAAAACUUUGAAAGAGUUUAUAUAAAGAAUAUAAUAUAAGAGUUAAAAUACCAUAAAGUAAGAGAUCUGGAAAAUAAAAGGGAGAAGAAUUUGUAAGAAAGAGAACUUCCAAAAUUAGAAUGAAAAUAAGGAAGAACUAUCGAAUGUUUUCGGAACUAGAUGAUGUAUGUGGUUUUUCCGUGUUGAGCCAAGGUGCUAAGGAUCGUCUUUUAUAGAUGAAGGUAAUGGAAAUGGUCAACAAAUAAAGCAUGAAAUCAAGAGGGAAUCCUGCAUUUUGUUAUUGAAUAUAACCAAAAAGUUGUAUUUUUUGUGGAGCAUGUUUUCGUGUUUUGGUGAAAAAUAAGGAACCCACCAAUAGUGUUCAUACACAAGCCUGGUCCUAAAUAGCUCUACCAAUCAUGUAUGUGAUUUUUUCAAUAAUAAAAUACUAAGUUUUAUAUCAAUCCCUCACAUAUUCUAAAAGUGCAAAUAAUUAGAAAGAAAGAAAAUUUAUCCUGGAUUUCAUAAGAUGUAACGUAUCAUAACAAAUAUAGCAAAUUAUAUAAAUCAGUCUUAAAUCGAGAAACUUAACACACAGUGUAGUUGGUAUAACCCCCACAAUCAAGCUAGUAUACGAACCAAAGACACUGUGUGUUAGAGGUUUAUCAAUCACAAUACACCACUACAAUCCUUAUUGUUAUCGUUAUGUUGCACUUAUUAGGCCAUGCGCAUGCCCGAUAUUUAUGAGUGCUCUAAAGAUCGUGCCAAGAUCUCAUGCAAGGGAUCCCACUCGACACUCAUAUAGGUGAUUUCAUCAAGUGUAUGCUAUAAAUCAUACACCACCCAUAAGGGAUAUGAAAAUCAUUAAAAACUUUGUUUAAGCUAAAUUUUUUUUCCCCAUAUAAAAUUUUAAUGACAAAGCUUAACCUCUCAUAAUGUCAUAUCUAGCACUUUCACACACACACGCACACACACACACACACCAUAGGAAUGGACAUAAUUGAUUAAAAUUUAUUUAGUGCUAUCAGAACUAACAAGUGACUUGUUUUUACACCCUUCAGGUUGAGUCAUAUAAAUUUCUUCCUCCAAAUCACCAUUCAAAAAAAGUUGUUUUAACAUCCAUUUGGUGUAUCACUAGUUUAUAAAUAGUUGUUAGAGCUAACAACACUCCAAUGAAGGAAAUCCUAGUCACACGAGCAAAGGUAUCAAAAUAAUCUAUGUUAGGUUUUUGAGUGAAACCUUUUGCUACUAAUCUUGCCUUAUAUUUCUCUAUGGAUCCAUCUAGGUGCUACUUUUUCUUAAAGAUCCAUCUACAACCAAUGAGUUUUGCUCCGUUAGGCAAAUAUACUAAAGUCCAAGUAUUAUUUUUCUGAAUUAAUUCAAUUUCAGUCCUAAUGGCUUUAUCCCAGUAUUUUGCAUCAGGAGCAUUAAUAGCCUCUACAAAGCUAGUUGGAUCAUUAUCAACGAGAUAAGUAUAAAAGUAAUCUCCAAAGGAAGUUUCCUUUCUUUGUCUUUUACUUCUUCUUAAACCCUCACUCAUGGCAUCACUGUCAUUAUCAAUAGGUUCAAAUGUCUCACUAAUUUUUUAAGGGAAAAAUAUGUUAAAAAAACUAAACAUUUUUUGUCUCCAUUAUAGUGUUACGUUCACAUCACUUUUGAGAACGAGAAACCUAUAUGAAGCACUAUGUUCGACAUAGCCUAAGAACAUGUAAUAAGAUGUGUUAGAGCAUAUUUUCCUUUUCUUAGGAUCGGGUAACAUCACCUUAGCUAGGUAUCCUCACACUCUUAGAUAUUUAAGGUUAGGUUGGUAACCACUAGUAGAAAAAUGUCUUUCUAUAACUACCUAUAUUAUAACGUACAAAAAUUAUGCGUUAUAAUAGAGAUGUAUUAUAACGUACUUUUAUAAAUAAGUUAUAAUAUGAAAUGCGGUGGCAAACUUGUAAAUAAGUUUAAAACAUAUUAUAACGUAGUUUUAUAAAUUCGUUAUAAUAUCAAAAGCGGUGACAAACUUGUAAAUAAGUGCAAAAUGUAUUAUAACGUAGUUUAAAACCAAUUCUUUGGCUCAAUAUUUUUAAUGAGGGAAUAUAGGAACUUGCAAUUGCUUGAAGCAUCUUUUGUCAUAUUUUGCAACUAUGAUGAUUUUGCUUUAGAUGAUCAGUUAUUUGUUCACUCUCAAAAAGAACAAAUUUACUUACCCUCGGUCCUUCUUCGGGUUUGUAAUUGUCAUGAGGUUCUUGCUCUCUCUUACUUGGAAAAUCCAGAGAAUGGUAGGAAUGCUCAUGUAACUUUUAAUCUUGGGAGCUGCAUCAAUCAAAUUUUCAAUAUUUUUUGUUAUAAGAAAUAAUUUAUUGUUAAAGAAAUCUAUGAUCAUUGUAUAAAAUAAAUCUAUAUGUUCAUUGUGGCUUCCAACUGAGAGAAGAUAUUCUUUCUCAUAGUCUAAAUUUUAUUGCUUAUAUUUAACUAUUAUAUUAUUGCUUUUAAUUCUAGCAUGAAUAUAUGGCUUAUAAUUGUCUUAUAAUUAUAUUUUUUAUUCUUUCAUAACAAUUGUAGGCUAUUUAUUAUCUUGAGAAGGGGGAGUCUGUUUUUGUUGUUGCUCACACAUCAGCUGGAAAAACUGUAGUUGCCGAAUAUGCAUUUGCUUUAGCAUCAAAAGUAUGCUCUGAAUCUUUACUAUUCAUGAAGUUUCUUUGUUUCUUUUCUUUUUCUUCCCGACAGCUUAACUGCAUAAGUCAUGAACCAUAUUGUUCAAUACCAUUUAUAUAUAACAGUGCUCUUUUUCUACUAUCGAUGAUAUUUUGACUUAGUCUUACAAUAUUGUUAAGCUUUUCUGUAUUAAAANUUUCCAUUGGGCAACUACCUGCUCUGUCCCAAUUGCACACAAAAUGAUAAUUUUAUACUUUUUAUCAUUGGUUUUUGACAAGUGUACACAUGGCCUUGGAAAUUAAGUUGGAGGGCAGUAGGUAAAUGGUAUGACAAUUUCUUUCUUUCUUUAUUUGCAACAAAAAUUGGUUAUGUUUGUGAUGUUCGGUAAUUAAGUAGAGUAUUGGUGUGACCUUGCUGAUGAAGUUAUAAGAUGUGGUGAUAAUUUGAUGGAAAAGUUUGCUCACGAGGCAGGCAUGAGAAUAAAAUUAAAGUAUAUAGCAGCUAGCUAAGCUAAGCCAAGAGAGUAGAAUAGUUGUGUUCUCUAGAAACAAUAAACCACACAAAUAUAAGGUUGUUCUGCAGAAUCAUUUUCAUUCAAGGUAUUCCUACUAUUUUGACUAAACAUAUUUAUUCCAUUUUCAGAUAUUUAAUAUUGAUAUAUAUGUUAAAAUCUNAUAUAGUGAUAUAUUAUUUAUUGGUUUUCUAUANUUGGACUUAUUCUGCANGGCGCUGANGGUGUUCUAGUUCUAGGAGGUUUUGGUGAUAGAGGAGUGCAAGGGGCUAAGUAUGCUCGAGAACAUAAUGUUCCAUUUUUGGACAUUUGCUUGGAUAUGCAAAUUGUUGUCAUUGAGUAGAGAUUUAUUCUUGGGCAGAUGAUGUGAAUCAACAGUGUAUUAUUGCUGAAUCAUUUAAAUUUGCAUAAUAUGAAUGAUGUAUUAAAUAUUAGACUAUUUGAAAUGAAAUUUAUUUUGUUAAUUUCAUUAAAUUUGUUUAUUUGAGGCUAUAUUAAUUAUAAAUUGAUUGGAUGAGAGGAUAAUAAAUGUAAUAAUUAAUUUUUAUUUUUUUUUAAAAAAAUAUCAUAUAUUAUAACGUAAAAGAACUCUUACGUUGUAAUACUUUCUACCCUAUUAUAACGUACUUGAGAAAUUACAUUAUAAUAUGUUUGAUAUAUUAUAACGUACUUCAAAAACUAUGUUAUAAUAGGUUCUACAUAUUAUAACGUACUUCAAAAACUACGUUAUAAUAGGUUUGACAUAUUAUAACGUACUUCAGAAACUACGUUAUAAUAAGUUCGACAUAUUAUAACGUAAAUUUUUGUUACGUUAUAAAAUGUGCAGACUUACUAUAUCGCCCAAAACUAUAUCCCUAGAAACUACGUUAUAAAAAGUCAUUUUUGUACGUUAUAAAAAGUCAUUUUUCCACUAGUGAACCUUUACAUAGCUCAUAGGGAGUUUUACCAAUUUUCUUAUGAGGUAUUCUAUUUUGUAAAAAACAUGCUGUAAGCAAGGCUUUUCCCCAAAGGUUUUUAGGUGCACAAAAACUAAUAAACAAGGCAUUCGUCAUUUUCAUUGAUUUUAUCACCAAAGAUCACUGAAUACAUUAUAACAUGCAAAACUCAAACAACAAAGCACAUACCACACCCAUCUCCAUAACACGUCUAAUGAAGUUGUGUCACACAUUUGUAUUCAACUAAUGCAAUAUUCUAGAGAAUUUCUCUAUAGGACCUUUGGGAGAAAUGAAAUGAUCACAAAACCAAACCUCAAAUACAUGAAAAACACAAAAUUUAGUCAAUAUCCAAGCCACAACAUAAAAAAUAAUUACAUCUUAAUCAAUAAAAAAAAUUUACCUGCAACAUGAACACAUCCAUCAACAUACAAGUUGCUUAUACCUUUUCCUUUCUUCAAAGCUAUAUAAGCUUUGCAUAAACUACAUAACAAAUAUCAAUAAACUAUACUACCCUAAUAAUGAUUACCCAAACGACCUAAAUUGUCAACAAUAUUAAACAAAAUUAGAAACACUUUUAUGCUACUUUUAGGAAUUAAAACUUCAUAUAUCCCUACCAAAAUGUACAAGCUACAAAAAUGUGAUAAAGGGAAGUUUUCAUGUUCUUCCAACAAAAAAUCGUAUAUCAAUUUUAAAUCAUGUCUUCACCAAAGUAUUUCCCACACUUAUUACCUUUUACUUUCUCCUUUAACUUAAUAUCUUCUCCAUCUAAACUCAACCUUAAUCCUAAACAGAAAUCAUUUUCGUUGAAUUGGACAACUCUAUCUCCAAAUAAAAACCCACCACUCGAAUCAACCCAUCUAACCAAUAACUCAUUCAAAAUAUUCCUACCAAGCUUAACAUGAUUAGUCAAAUCUAAAAACCAUCGAAAUGACGUCUUCUUAAUAAGUGACAUGUGCUCCUCGGUCAAUCUUUCAUUCAAACUACAAACGUAAUUGGUUUUGAAAGAAUGACGAACACACAACUACAUCAAAGAAAACAAAUAAAAGGCAAAUCGAAAACGCAAAUAAAAGGCUACAUAACGAAAACACAGCAGCAAAAACGAAAAGGCAAAUCGAAAACGCAAAUAAGAAAAGGGAAAAAUCCAUUUACCUUGCUCAAACCACCAACGUCACCAGAGGAUUUCAUUGCGCACAAUACCGUCAACAGAAUGCUUCCAAAAAGUCAAAACUUUAACACAAAGGGGAGCUUUUGGUUCAUCCCACGCAAAUUAAAAGGUGGAGCAAAGGCUGAAGAGACAAUGAACAAUCAGAAAAUGGAGAGAAAACGAA
Molecule: long non-coding RNA, 7283 nt
Filed under: Vigna radiata
Lineage: Eukaryota; Viridiplantae; Streptophyta; Magnoliopsida; Fabales; Fabaceae
Description: long non-coding RNA (VRAD_LNC000348)
Source: RNAcentral